CAUCAGGUUCCAUUGCCAGAGGCCCAAUAGACUGCUCAAGCCCUGAAACUGACACUCACAUUCCGGGGGCCUGGUUCAGUCUUAUGUUGUUUCCCCAGGUAUCAGACUAUGGUCUUUGAGCUUCCCCUUGUUCAGGUCAGCUGUUUCUGUGUUUCUCCCCAGCAUGGUCUUGACCCCUUUGCUCAUCACUCCUCUCUCUCUACUACUGGAUUCCAGGAGUUCAGCUCAGUGCUUAGCUGUGGGUGUCUGCUUCUGCUUCCAUCAGCUACUGGAUGAAAGCUCUAGGAUGGCAUUUAAGGAAGUCAUCAAUCUCAUUACAGGGGAAGGGCAUUGAAGGUCGCCCUCAUAUAGUGGAGACCUGCGCUUUCCUGGAUGGAGAUGGAAGAGGAAGGGAUUGGGCAGAGGCUGUGGCCUGGAUGUAAAAUAAAUAGAUGAAUAAAAAAUGAAACAAAGAAAAACGGAAGUGACUAAACAGUAAGCAGAAUUACCACUGGCAUUCUGGCAUUCCCCCAAAGUAGAUUUGGGAAGGAUGGAGUCCAAAAUGUAAAAUAAACUGG
RNAcentral lists this long non-coding RNA (557 nucleotides) under Cricetulus griseus (Chinese hamster). RNAcentral's name for it is "lncRNA (ENSCGRG00015024955.2)". Lineage: Eukaryota; Metazoa; Chordata; Mammalia; Rodentia; Cricetidae. The record is from RNAcentral.